Molecule: ribosomal RNA, 459 nt
Filed under: uncultured bacterium
Lineage: Bacteria
Description: partial 16S ribosomal RNA
Rfam family: Bacterial small subunit ribosomal RNA
Source: RNAcentral
CCUACGGGAGGCUGUAGUGAGGAAUAUUGGUCAAUGGCCGGAAGGCUGAACCAGCCAAGCCGCGUGAAGGACGAAGGUGCCAAGCAUUGUAAACUUCUUUUGUCAAGGGACAAAAUCAGGCUCGAGAGCCUGACCGAGGGUACUUGAAGAAAAAGCAUCGGCUCACUCCGUGCCAGCAGCCGCGGUAAUACGGAGGCUGCGCGCGUUAUCCGGAGUUAGUGGGUUUAAAGGGUGCGUAGGCGGGCUGUUAAGUCAGCGGUAAAAGCCCGGGGCUCAACCCCGGCGAGCCGUUGAAACUGGCUGUCUUGAGAUGUCGAGAGGUAUGCGGAAUGCGCAGUGUAGCGGUGAAAUGCUUAGAUAUUGCGCAGAACUCCGAUGGCGAAGGCAGCAUACCGGCGGUGAUCUGACGCUGAGGCACGAAAGCGUGGGUAUCGAACAGGAUUAGAUACCCGAGUAGUC